CCGAAUGGGGAAACCCAGUGUGACUCGUCACACUAUCAUUAACUGAAUCCAUAGGUUAAUGAGGCGAACCGGGGGAACUGAAACAUCUAAGUACCCCGAGGAAAAGAAAUCAACCGAGAUUCCCCCAGUAGCGGCGAGCGAACGGGGAGGAGCCCAGAGCCUGAAUCAGCAUGUGUGUUAGUGGAAGCGUCUGGAAAGGCGCGCGAUACAGGGUGACAGCCCCGUACACAAAAGCGCAUGUGCUGUGAGCUCGAUGAGUAGGGCGGGACACGUGGUAUCCUGUCUGAAUAUGGGGGGACCAUCCUCCAAGGCUAAAUACUCCUGACUGACCGAUAGUGAACCAGUACCGUGAGGGAAAGGCGAAAAGAACCCCGGCGAGGGGAGUGAAAAAGAACCUGAAACCGUGUACGUACAAGCAGUGGGAGCACAGGUUUACCUGUGUGACUGCGUACCUUUUGUAUAAUGGGUCAGCGACUUAUAUUCUGUAGCAAGGUUAACCGAAUAGGGGAGCCGGAGGGAAACCGAGUCUUAAUUGGGCGUUAAGUUGCAGGGUAUAGACCCGAAACCCGGUGAUCUAGCCAUGGGCAGGUUGAAGGUUGGGUAACACUAACUGGAGGACCGAACCGACUAAUGUUGAAAAAUUAGCGGAUGACCUGUGGCUGGGGGUGAAAGGCCAAUCAAACCGGGAGAUAGCUGGUUCUCCCCGAAAGCUAUUUAGGUAGCGCCUCGUGAA
RNAcentral lists this ribosomal RNA (733 nucleotides) under Salmonella enterica subsp. enterica serovar Montevideo. RNAcentral describes it as "partial 23S ribosomal RNA". It matches the Rfam family "Bacterial large subunit ribosomal RNA", at positions 114 to 888 of the family's 2925-position model. The record is from RNAcentral. Lineage: Bacteria; Pseudomonadati; Pseudomonadota; Gammaproteobacteria; Enterobacterales; Enterobacteriaceae.